UAGAUAUACGUACACCUUCGUGUCUCCAUACCAAAGGUCCAGGGAGGAGAAUUUUCUUUUCGUCGUUUCUUAAACAUAUACUCUUGUUAUCUCGUAGUAGGAUGCAUAUUUUUGGUCUCCAUGGAUAGCACGUAGUUGCUUUUCGAAGGCAAGUUAAAAUCGAAAUAUUUUCAUAAAGGAGUGUUGGUGAACUUGUGAAUUGCUAGAGUAUAUGUUUAAAUAUUAAUUACCUACCAUACGUUUAAAUAUUUGUUCCUCCUCCCAUCAAAUUUUGAGCUGCUCCAGUAAAAAAGAGUAAAUAUAUGGAGGCACGUUUAAGUCU
RNAcentral lists this long non-coding RNA (322 nucleotides) under Populus tremula. RNAcentral's name for it is "long non-coding RNA (PTRE_LNC000620)". Lineage: Eukaryota; Viridiplantae; Streptophyta; Magnoliopsida; Malpighiales; Salicaceae. The record is from RNAcentral.